AUGAUAAAGUUCAGGAAGUGCUUGUUGGUGGGAGAACAGGCACGAUACAAGCUGGCCUCACGGCACAGUCUGACAGAACAACAAGUAGCAUCUACGACAGCAAAAGCUACCAAACUACGAAAGCAGACUCGCAAGCCUUGGAUUAUGAAACCAAGACCGCUAGCGUAUAGUCCCAAGAACAGAGGCAUAGAGAUAAAUUUGGAUACUAGCACCCUAACGCAACUGAUAACAGAAGAAUUACACAUUGGAGGCAUCAAUGUUGCGCAUAGAGGAUGCAGACGAGGAGCUCACAGCAGAGGAGCUGGGGGCCGCACCGGAGACAGGAUUGGUCGUACGGGCCCUGGCUUGCUCGAGGAUGGCAGGAACGUUGAGGUUGCGGCCCUGGGCGAGCAACUUGAGCUUGGCCCUGGUGAGCGGCGCUGGAGUCGAGAGCAGAGGGAGCUCCAGGAUGCUAGCGACGGAGGUGGCUUUGGCCUUCGCCUUCUUACGGGACUUGGAGGAGCUGGAGCGCCUGGAGGAGCCACUGCUCGAACUUUGAUCGGGCACCGUCGCUGCCUUGCGCUUGGCAGCCCGCUCCACCGGGCUCAUCCGAGCGCCGUCGUAGGCGCGCUGAAUGCGGGGGCUGCACCGUGGGGACGUUGCAGAUGGCACCGCCGUUACUGGGGAAGCGACCGGUGGCGAUGCAGCCUCGAUAUUCUCAUCCCCCGCACAGCCCGGUGGCGGCAGAUCCAGAUUGAGAUCCGGCACGCCCAGCUGGCCAGCAGAGGGGGGCGUAGAUCCGGCGGGAGGGAAAAGCGUCAGCGCGGCCUUGGGAGCGAGGAGGUCGGCCGCGGCGGGCUCACGCAGUGGCUCCCGGCAACUACAGAAGACAGCUGCCACAUGCGCGGGGAGCGCCGCGCAGGCACCAUGCUUGAGGUCAGUGGCAACCACCGGCGAGAGUUGUUCGAUGGGGAGGAUUCCAGGCUCUGGAUGCGAGAUGCGGUGGGGGGGCGUGUGCAGAUGGGUCUAGUGGUGAGGAUCUGGUGGGCCUGGAGGUGA
This 1038-nucleotide ribosomal RNA is filed under the name Triticum aestivum (bread wheat). RNAcentral describes it as "partial small subunit ribosomal RNA". The record is from RNAcentral. Lineage: Eukaryota; Viridiplantae; Streptophyta; Magnoliopsida; Poales; Poaceae.